This 29-nucleotide non-coding RNA is filed under the name Mus musculus (house mouse). The record is from RNAcentral. Lineage: Eukaryota; Metazoa; Chordata; Mammalia; Rodentia; Muridae.
UACCAUACUUAUCCUAGACUGGCUCUUCC